This 555-nucleotide long non-coding RNA is filed under the name Numida meleagris (helmeted guineafowl). RNAcentral describes it as "lncRNA (ENSNMEG00000004936.1)". Lineage: Eukaryota; Metazoa; Chordata; Aves; Galliformes; Numididae. The record is from RNAcentral.
AAGCUGCUAAGGAAAGGCGCUUGAGCUCUGUGAUUAAUGUAACUGCUGCAGCUCAUCUGUACUAUCAGACUGCAGCAACUGACAAAUGACAUUUAAAGCCCAGGAGAGCCACACCAGCAAGUGAUUUUCUAACAGCUGUGCCAGUGAGCAAAACAGAGGAGGGGCAGAGGUUGCUGCCAGCUUGGGCUGCCCAGAGAAUUCAAGGGUAGGAUUUAGUUAAAGAAAGAAUCAUUACGCUUUUCAUUGAUUUGUGUGCACACACCAGCCAGCCUUAUUUUUUCCUUUUUUUUUUUUUUUUAUUAAGUAUGUGUUCCCACUUCCUGCACCUGGACAUUUCAUCCUGGAUAUGUCAGCCUGGCUGGCCACACUCUGUACUUCCCAUGCUCCCCAAGAUGCUGCUCACUGAAAUCUCAUCGUACGCUUGCAGAGAGCUGGGAACAGAUUAAGAACACAUCAAUGAGACCUUUGCAAGAACAAGAACUGCAGGAUCUGGCACUAGUGCUUUUAAACCCUAAUUAGGAAUGAAAGAGUGUGAAGCUCGUUCCAGACUCAUUC